UCCUUUGCAAAACAAUAAACACGACCAUCUGACUGCUGGAGUUCCAUAUACCCAGAUCUUAUCUGAAGCUUGUCAGACUUUUCAUAUGGAUCAGUACUGGCAAGAAUAUUCCAUUGGGACUCAGAAAAAUAUAAGGAGGUGUUUCCAUGAAUGUAGUUUCUCAUUUCAUCCCACCAUGGCAAGCUCUUUUCCUUUUUCGGUUGCGGAGGAUCCGGACUUGGAUUUCUGAUGCUCAAAUUGGCCCUACGCAGGGCCACUGUGAAAGCAUAGCUAAUAUCAGCAAGAGCUGGUUCAAAACCCACUCCAUAGGAAAUUUCCGCUUUCUGAAAAUGUAAGGGUAAAUCAGAGUAUGUUUUCAUUGGUGGAGUUGUCCCACUAGCAGAACGGAGCAAGCGGACCUUCCUCCAUCUCCCAAUGUAUACAUUUUGGUGGAUUUGGGGCUGAAAACAAGUUGCCUGCACCCAAUAUUGACAAAAAGGUUAAGUUUAUGUCAACAAAUCUAUUAUUGAAAUUCAAAGCAUUUAAAACAAACUAAAAUUGACUCUCAAGAGUCAAAUACAAUAGAAUGAGGAAUAUAAUAUAUCUGGCGCUUUAACACAAUACCACAAUACAAAGGAGCAAAGUUAAACGUAGAUAUUCAAAUUGGUAAUGCUCUCUCAAGUGGAGACUUACCACAUUGAUUACGUUAAACUAAAACAGAACAGUUUUUAGCAACGGUAAUAGAUUUUGAUUUUUAANCUUGCCAUGCUAACAACCUGUCUGGGUCAGCUUUUGGGGCUUGCCUUCUGAUUGUAAAGUAAUCAGAUGAUAAAAGAAAACCAUCAUCACGCUGUCUCUCCGUGCUGCUGUCAUUAGAUGACCUUUCUGUUGAUGCAGAUUGUGAUGUUUUCCUAGUCAUUUUAACUACUUUUGCAACACUGCUAUUAUCAUCUCUAUUUAUAAAUGCCUUAGGCAUGUGGAGGUCAAGACCCUGGUAUACAAGAUCAAGGGUGUCUCGUUUACUCUCAAAUGUGUAUUUUUGCUUCCCCCUGCCAUAAUAAAGUUCAUAUUUCAACUUAUUCAUAGAAAAUGUCAGCCCCUUAGCUGGGUCAUCAUCAUCUAAAGGCAUAUGCUUUAUGCAUGCUGGGGUUGCAUCAACUCUGAACAUAAAUUCUGUCAUCACCUUAUCUAAUGACAGAUUGCCAGAUCUAGGAACUCUUGGAAUUCCAAAACGUGGCCACCUAGAAAAAGACCGCAAUUUGUGAGGUGGAUAAUAAUUUAAGCUCCAGAAUUUCAGUACCCAUGCCAAAUCAUGAGGACCGAGUUUCAAUGUUGGGAAAACUGACAAGCUAUCAGCCUUCAUUGCAUCACAGCCAGCUGCAUCCAAGACACCCUGAUCACCCACAGAACAUAAGUUUGAUAAAUUAUCAUGCAUAGGAAUCGAUGGCCUAAGCAACAGAUUCCACCUCAGUGACAGAGAGGUUGAUCUAAACGGGUCAUAGACUUUUUCACGGGGCACUCCUUCACUGGGAAGUGCAAAUAGAUAAUGGUUUAGAGGGUUUCCAGAAUCACAUUCCCACUCCAUAAUCACUUCAAGACUAAAGGCCGGGGCCUCUAUGAAAGUAGAGGAAAAACCAGAUGGACACUUUAAAUUGGAGUUCUUCAACAAGCUCUCCAAGCUGCUCAGUAGAAUCUUGAAGUCCUUUGCAAAACAAUAAACACGACCAUCUGACUGCUGGAGUUCCAUAUACCCAGAUCUUAUCUGAAGCUUGUCAGACUUUUCAUAUGGAUCAGUACUGGCAAGAAUAUUCCAUUGGGACUCAGAAAAAUAUAAGGAGGUGUUUCCAUGAAUGUAGUUUCUCAUUUCAUCCCACCAUGGCAAGCUCUUUUCCUUUUUCGGU
This 1880-nucleotide long non-coding RNA is filed under the name Solanum pimpinellifolium. RNAcentral's name for it is "long non-coding RNA (SPIM_LNC000104)". The record is from RNAcentral. Lineage: Eukaryota; Viridiplantae; Streptophyta; Magnoliopsida; Solanales; Solanaceae.